This 499-nucleotide ribosomal RNA is filed under the name uncultured bacterium. RNAcentral's name for it is "partial 16S ribosomal RNA". It matches the Rfam family "Bacterial small subunit ribosomal RNA", at positions 28 to 507 of the family's 1533-position model. The record is from RNAcentral.
GACGAACGCUGGCGGCGUGCCUAAUACAUGCAAGUCGGGCGAAGUUUUUCUGGUGCUUGCACUAGAAAAACUUAGCGGCGAACGGGUGAGUAACACGUAAAGAACCUGCCUCAUAGACUGGGACAACUAUUGGAAACGAUAGCUAAUACCGGAUAACAGUAUUUCUCGCAUGAGAGAUAUUUAAAAGUUGGUUAUGCUAACACUAUGAGAUGGCUUUGCGGUGCAUUAGCUAGUUGGUGGGGUAAAGGCCCACCAAGGCGACGAUGCAUAGCCGACCUGAGAGGGUGAUCGGCCACACUGGGACUGAGACACGGCCCAGACUCCUACGGGAGGCAGCAGUAGGGAAUCUUCCGCAAAGGGCGAAAGCCUGACGGAGCAACGCCGCGUGAGUGAAGAAGGAUUUCGGUUCGUAAAGCUCUGUUGUUAGGGAAGAAUGGAUAUGUAGUAACUAUACAUGUAAGAGACGGUACCUAACCAGAAAGCCACGGCUAACUACGUG